GACGAACGCUGGCGGCGCGCCUAACACAUGCAAGUCGAACGAGCGAGAGAGAGCUUGCUUUCUCGAGCGAGUGGCGAACGGGUGAGUAACGCGUGAGGAACCUGCCUCAAAGAGGGGGACAACAGUUGGAAACGACUGCUAAUACCGCAUAAGCCCACGGCUCGGCAUCGAGCAGAGGGAAAAGGAGCAAUCCGCUUUGAGAUGGCCUCGCGUCCGAUUAGCUAGUUGGUGAGGUAACGGCCCACCAAGGCGACGAUCGGUAGCCGGACUGAGAGGUUGAACGGCCACAUUGGGACUGAGACACGGCCCAGACUCCUACGGGAGGCAGCAGUGGGGAAUAUUGCACAAUGGGGGAAACCCUGAUGCAGCGACGCCGCGUGGAGGAAGAAGGUCUUCGGAUUGUAAACUCCUGUUGUUGGGGAAGAUAAUGACGGUACCCAACAAGGAAGUGACGGCUAACUACGUGCCAGCAGCCGCGGUAAAACGUAGGUCACAAGCGUUGUCCGGAAUUACUGGGUGUAAAGGGAGCGCAGGCGGGAAGACAAGUUGGAAGUGAAAUCUAUGGGCUCAACCCAUAAACUGCUUUCAAAACUGUUUUUCUUGAGUAGUGCAGAGGUAGGCGGAAUUCCCGGUGUAGCGGUGGAAUGCGUAGAUAUCGGGAGGAACACCAGUGGCGAAGGCGGCCUACUGGGCACCAACUGACGCUGAGGCUCGAAAGUGUGGGUAGCAAACAGGAUUAGAUACCCUGGUAGUCCACACCGUAAACGAUGAUUACUAGGUGUUGGAGGAUUGACCCCUUCAGUGCCGCAGUUAACACAAUAAGUAAUCCACCUGGGGAGUACGACCGCAAGGUUGAAACUCAAAGGAAUUGACGGGGGCCCGCACAAGCAGUGGAGUAUAUGGUUUAAUUCGACGCAACGCGAAGAACCUUACCAAGUCUUGACAUCCCUUGACGAUGCUGGAAACAGUAUUUCUCUUCGGAGCAAGGAGACAGGUGGUGCAUGGUUGUCGUCAGCUCGUGUCGUGAGAUGUUGGGUUAAGUCCCGCAACGAGCGCAACCCUUAUGGUCAGUUACUACGCAAGAGGACUCUGGCCAGACUGCCGUUGACAAAACGGAGGAAGGUGGGGAUGACGUCAAAUCAUCAUGCCCUUUAUGACUUGGGCUACACACGUACUACAAUGGCGUUAAACAAAGAGAAGCAAGACCGCGAGGUGGAGCAAAACUCAGAAACAACGUCCCAGUUCGGACUGCAGGCUGCAACUCGCCUGCACGAAGUCGGAAUUGCUAGUAAUCGUGGAUCAGCAUGCCACGGUGAAUACGUUCCCGGGCCUU
Molecule: ribosomal RNA, 1333 nt
Filed under: uncultured bacterium
Lineage: Bacteria
Description: bacterial SSU rRNA
Rfam family: Bacterial small subunit ribosomal RNA
Source: RNAcentral